Long non-coding RNA from Passer domesticus (house sparrow), 739 nucleotides. RefSeq lists it as uncharacterized. The record is from RefSeq and is a predicted model, not a curated record. Lineage: Eukaryota; Metazoa; Chordata; Aves; Passeriformes; Passeridae. The transcript has 3 exons.
UCCGUGUGGGAGGGAGCCCCUGUGGGAGGGAGCCCGGGCCGUAUUUCAGAAGGAAACACACAAAUGUACAAAUAAACAGUAGGCGGCCUUUUAAUUUCACUUUAGGAACUGACUCUGCAAUUUCGGAGAGGCAAAAUACGCUGUGCGGAUGGCGUGUUUAAAGAGCAAUGAAAAAUAAAAUAAUUUAUCAGCAGGAUCCUUCGAGUGCUCCAUAACAGCCUGUCAGGGCUGCUUUGCUUGUGCUCGGAGAAUUCCUUCAGAUUUUCCCUCCAAGUAAUGCAGAUAGAGAGAGAGAAGAAGAAAAAGUGUGUUAUACUCCCAGAGCUUUCUCUGUACUCAUGUGGAAAUGGGCCAUCAUCAAUAGAACAGGAAUGUGAGACAACAGCAUGGACAGCAGACAGCAUCUAGGUCUUCUGUAGGGGAAAAAAAUGUCAAGUGUUGAAAAUGAAUGGGCCUGCACCCCAGAAAAAGGUGAGGGAGGAUUCCCUGGGCACCCAUCUGGCUGGGAAGGAGAAGGGAGGGUCUAGAAAAGGAGACAAAUUCAUGCAGUAGGAAAACAACUUACAGAUAGAGGGUUUCAGGGUUAUUAAAGAGUGCAAGGACUUGAUUACAGAACUUUAUUUUGAGCAUGAGAGUAUUAAUGAAGACAGAUCAUGCAUCAAGUAGUUGUAAACAAAGAGCUCGGGUUUUCUGGAAAUUAAAAUGGUUGUGUCUGCAAUGCUCUGUGGCAAACACUGGA